Molecule: ribosomal RNA, 465 nt
Filed under: Vreelandella stevensii
Lineage: Bacteria; Pseudomonadati; Pseudomonadota; Gammaproteobacteria; Oceanospirillales; Halomonadaceae
Description: partial 16S ribosomal RNA
Rfam family: Bacterial small subunit ribosomal RNA
Source: RNAcentral
CCUACGGGCGGCUGCAGUGGGGAAUAUUGGACAAUGGGGGGAACCCUGAUCCAGCCAUGCCGCGUGUGUGAAGAAGGCCCUCGGGUUGUAAAGCACUUUCAGUGAGGAAGAACGCCUGGUGGUUAAUACCCAUCAGGAAAGACAUCACUCACAGAAGAAGCACCGGCUAACUCCGUGCCAGCAGCCGCGGUAAUACGGAGGGUGCGAGCGUUAAUCGGAAUUACUGGGCGUAAAGCGCGCGUAGGUGGCUUGAUAAGCCGGUUGUGAAAGCCCCGGGCUCAACCUGGGAACGGCAUCCGGAACUGUCAAGCUAGAGUGCAGGAGAGGAAGGUAGAAUUCCCGGUGUAGCGGUGAAAUGCGUAGAGAUCGGGAGGAAUACCAGUGGCGAAGGCGGCCUUCUGGACUGACACUGACACUGAGGUGCGAAAGCGUGGGUAGCAAACAGGAUUAGAUACCCCGGUAGUA